UGUGAUAUGGAGCAGACGGUAGCUCAUUAGGCUCAUAACCUAAAGGUCAUAGGUUCAAGUCCUAUUAUCACUC
RNAcentral lists this transfer RNA (73 nucleotides) under Malawimonas californiana (nom. ined.). Its description in RNAcentral is "Malawimonas californiana tRNA-Met". It matches the Rfam family "tRNA". From Rfam's summary of the family: Transfer RNA (tRNA) molecules are approximately 80 nucleotides in length. Lineage: Eukaryota; Malawimonada; Malawimonadea; Malawimonadida; Malawimonadidae. The record is from RNAcentral.